Long non-coding RNA from Ornithodoros turicata, 594 nucleotides. RefSeq lists it as uncharacterized. The transcript is spliced from 3 exons. NCBI's taxonomy places the organism in Eukaryota, Metazoa, Arthropoda, Arachnida, Ixodida, Argasidae. The record is from RefSeq and is a predicted model, not a curated record.
UGCGUCAGUUCUCGCGUUCGUUCGCUUUUCAUGUUAGCGCUUGCGCGGUUCGUCGAAGACAUUGCAGACAACCGUCGGCCUCUGAUCCCAGUGUCGGAUAUCGUCAACUUCGAUCCUGUCGAUCAAGAUUAUUUUGACAGCAGAACAACGUACAGGGCGUACUGGCUCGACGACGACGCGGAGAACACCGGCGAGUAUGCAGUACAAAUCUUAAGACUUGCAGUUCCACCUCACCAACAACAUUUUUAUAACCAAGGAGCAGGCCCACAAGCUGUUCAAAAACAAGAAGGCAGCAAUUCUCAUCAGGGACGCUACACAGGUGGUUUUGGGGGAAGAAGCACUUGCAAGCCGAACAGUAAGCGGAAGGGCUGCUCCAGGGAAAACAGCAGGCAGUUCAGGACCGUGCAAGCAGCUCACGCCUGAGAAAUUGGAAGCUAUUCACGUGCUCCCGCAGCCAUCGGCAACAACGACGCACAUGGCCCAGCUGUUAUCGAAAACUGUAUACCUCUAUAUUCUCGGUGUGCGAACUGCGAUUGGCUUCUCAACUGCCCUUCGAUGUCGAAGCAUCUAAAGCUCCACUGAAGCCUGUUACAA